AAAUUGAAGAGUUUGAUCAUGGCUCAGAUUGAACGCUGGCGGCAGGCCUAACACAUGCAAGUCGAGCGGUAGCACAGAGAGCUUGCUCUCGGGUGACGAGCGGCGGACGGGUGAGUAAUGUCUGGGAAACAGCCUGAUGGAGGGGGAUAACUACUGGAAACGGUAGCUAAUACCGCAUAACGU
RNAcentral lists this ribosomal RNA (183 nucleotides) under Klebsiella pneumoniae. Its description in RNAcentral is "partial 16S ribosomal RNA". It matches the Rfam family "Bacterial small subunit ribosomal RNA", at positions 1 to 179 of the family's 1533-position model. Lineage: Bacteria; Pseudomonadati; Pseudomonadota; Gammaproteobacteria; Enterobacterales; Enterobacteriaceae. The record is from RNAcentral.